GAUGAACGCUAGCUACAGGCUUAACACAUGCAAGUCGAGGGGCAGCAUUGGAGUAGCAAUACUUCAGAUGGCGACCGGCGCACGGGUGAGUAACACGUAUCCAACCUGCCGCUUACUCGGGGAUAGCCUUUCGAAAGAAAGAUUAAUACCCGAUGGUAUAAAGAGUUCGCAUGUUCUCUUUAUUAAAGAAUUUCGGUAAGCGAUGGGGAUGCGCUCCAUUAGAUUGUUGGCGGGGUAACGGCCCACCAAGUCUACGAUGGAUAGGGGUUCUGAGAGGAAGGUCCCCCACAUUGGAACUGAGACACGGUCCAAACUCCUACGGGAGGCAGCAGUGAGGAAUAUUGGUCAAUGGACGAGAGUCUGAACCAGCCAAGUAGCGUGAAGGAUGACUGCCCUAUGGGUUGUAAACUUCUUUUAUAAGGGAAUAAAGUGAGGGACGUGUCCCUUUUUGUAUGUACCUUAUGAAUAAGGAUCGGCUAACUCCGUGCCAGCAGCCGCGGUAAUACGGAGGAUCCGAGCGUUAUCCGGAUUUAUUGGGUUUAAAGGGAGCGUAGGUUGACGUAUAAGUCAGCUGUGAAAGUUUACGGCUCAACCGUGAAAUUGCAGUUGAUACUGUAUGUCUUGAGUGUACAAGAGGUGGGCGGAAUUCGUGGUGUAGCGGUGAAAUGCUUAGAUAUCACGAAGAACUCCAAUUGCGAAGGCAGCUCACUGGGGUACAACUGACACUGAGGCUCGAAAGUGUGGGUAUCAAACAGGAUUAGAUACCCUGGUAGUCCACACAGUAAACGAUGAAUACUCGCUGUUUGCGAUAUACAGUAAGCGGCCAAGCGAAAGCAUUAAGUAUUCCACCUGGGGAGUACGCCGGCAACGGUGAAACUCAA
Molecule: ribosomal RNA, 881 nt
Filed under: uncultured bacterium
Lineage: Bacteria
Description: bacterial SSU rRNA
Rfam family: Bacterial small subunit ribosomal RNA
Source: RNAcentral